GAAGUGUUAGUAAAACUAUUACAUAGCUUUGUCAAGGCUAAAUUACAGGUGAAAAUCCAGUACACUUCA
Molecule: transfer RNA, 69 nt
Filed under: Grantiella picta
Lineage: Eukaryota; Metazoa; Chordata; Aves; Passeriformes; Meliphagidae
Also listed under: 1 other name
Description: tRNA-Asp
Rfam family: tRNA
About the family: Transfer RNA (tRNA) molecules are approximately 80 nucleotides in length.
Source: RNAcentral